CUGAGGCGGACUAUCAAGGUGAAAUACUGUGCAGCAUCUAACUUCAACAGUGGAGGCACAGCGUUAAAUCAGAAGCAGGGAAUAACUUUCUAUAGCUGACCAAGUUGGAGAACAUGGAGACAAACUCAGAGCCAAAGCUGGAGAAGAGAAUUUAUCACAAGAACUAGUGGUGAUAACGUGUGUGGUCAUCCUGAUCUCUGCUGGAAGUGAGUUCCACAUUCACACUCUACUUGCAAAAAGUUCUGUCUCCACACAUGCACUUCACUCUUGCUGUUGGCAGAUCCAUAUAUAUAGUGUGUGUCAUGAUAUAAAUGUUGCCAUGGUUAUAAUUCCUGUUUAGUAAAUAGUAUGAAAUAAAACCACAUCUGAUGGCAAUAAUGCAAUUUACACUGAUCCCAAGGUACUUUUAAAAUCAUUUCCCUCCCUUUACAUUUCUUGAAAAUCUUGGUAAUGAGUAACCACAGGUUGCAACUUCACAUAUAAGAUGCCAGUAUUGGAAACUCCAUUUCUUUCAGAAAACACUCUGCCUUAGUAAAUACUAGUUUUUCAUUUCUAUAGCAUACAUCACAGGCAAUACAAGUCACCAGACAGGAGGAUCUCUCUCUUCCCUUUCAGUUGCUGAGGUAGCUGCCACACACGGGUACCAGAUGGCUAUCAUCACUACGCCAUCAAACGUUGGAGAGGAAAGCUGGGAUUUCCUUGGGUCUGAGAACAGUUUUAGGAAUAAGAUUUUCCAGAU
This is a long non-coding RNA of Alligator sinensis (Chinese alligator), 739 nucleotides long. RefSeq lists it as uncharacterized. The record is from RefSeq and is a predicted model, not a curated record. Lineage: Eukaryota; Metazoa; Chordata; Crocodylia; Alligatoridae. The transcript is spliced from 3 exons.